UACGUAGGGGGCAAGCGUUGUCCGGAUUUAUUGGGCGUAAAGAGCGUGUAGGCGGCCAGGUAGGUCCGCUGUGAAAACUCGAGGCUCAACCUCGAGAUGUCGGCGGAAACCACUUGGCUAGAGUCCGGAAGAGGAAAGUGGAAUUCCCGGUGUAGCGGUGAAAUGCGCAGAUAUCGGGAAGAACACCCGUGGCGAAGGCGGCUUUCUGGGACGGUACUGACGCUGAGACGCGAAAGCGUGGGGAGCGAACAGG
This 253-nucleotide ribosomal RNA is filed under the name uncultured bacterium. RNAcentral describes it as "partial 16S ribosomal RNA". It matches the Rfam family "Bacterial small subunit ribosomal RNA", at positions 524 to 776 of the family's 1533-position model. The record is from RNAcentral.